AUCAGCAGCAAAGCUGUAGUUUCACUAAUCCUUUGCUCACCCUGCAAGGAUGAGCGUGGAGAAGAAGAGUGGAGAAGUAACCCACAAUGUAACUUAAUUUCCCAGCGAGAACCUGAACCCUUACUAAAGUCCCCAGUAGUAGUCAGCCAACUGCAAAUUGCUGUGGGAAUAUUUACAGUAACAACUAUUAGGAAACAUGCAGUAUUUUGUUUGCCACGAAGCCAACUUAAUCUUCAGUGUCACAAUGCAAGUUAAGAUUUCCUAAAUAUAUUUUUAAAGAUUUUC
Molecule: long non-coding RNA, 285 nt
Organism: Homo sapiens (human)
Lineage: Eukaryota; Metazoa; Chordata; Mammalia; Primates; Hominidae
Source: Ensembl